Molecule: ribosomal RNA, 464 nt
Filed under: uncultured bacterium
Lineage: Bacteria
Description: bacterial SSU rRNA
Rfam family: Bacterial small subunit ribosomal RNA
Source: RNAcentral
AGGACGAACGCUGGCGGCGUGCCUAACACAUGCAGGUCGAGCGAAUGAAGUUCCUUCGGGAACGGAUUUAGCGGCGGACGGGUGAGUAACACGUGGGCAACCUGCCUCAUAGAGGGGAAUAGCCUUCCGAAAGGGAGAUUAAUACCGCAUAAGAUUAUAGUACCGCAUGGUACAGCAAUUAAAGGAGCAAUCCGCUAUGAGAUGGGCCCGCGGCGCAUUAGCUAGUUGGUGAGGUAACGGCUCACCAAGGCGACGAUGCGUAGCCGACCUGAGAGGGUGAUCGGCCACAUUGGGACUGAGACACGGCCCAGACUCCUACGGGAGGCAGCAGUGGGAAUAUUGCACAAUGGGGAAACCCUGAUGCAGCAACGCCGCGUGAGUGAUGACGGCCUUCGGGUUAUAAAGCUCUGUCUUCAGGGACGAUAAUGACGGUACCUGAGGAGGAAGCCACGGCUAACUACGUG